CAGGAUUGUUGAAGGAACCGAGACCUCUCCACAGACUAGAGAUCAAUCUCGGUACCCACAGAGAGAUUGAAGAUACUGAAGGCUUUCACCAAUGGUUAUGAAUUGCUGAGCCUAUCUGCAGACUUUCAACGUUGCAACACAGUGAUGGAUGAAGCCUCCUCAACCUAUCAAGCCAUUCAUCAACAAUACAUCUCAACAGUUGGAGAACUACUGUGAAUACAUUAAAUUUACCGGGUAUCAGCGGGUUUCAAUACAUAAAAAAUUGUAAGCGACUUUGAGGAAGAGGAAAGCCAUGCAGAUACGGGGAGAAUGUGCAAAUUCCGCACAGGCAGUCACCCAAGAGUGGAAUUGAAACCAGGUCCCUGGUGUUGUGAGGCAGUUUGCAAAAUUCCCUCAUUUUCCCAAAUUCCCAUCACUGAGCCAUUGUGCCACGCCCCCAGCCAUGCAAUCACCUGAAUGAGCUGACGUCUGCUUCACACCGGAUGGAACUCAGCUGUUCUGUGCAUUCACAAGAUGGUGAGGAUGCUCGAUACAUCAAGAAUGUGAGAACAGACAAACACUGGUGAAGAAACGGGGGCAGACUGGAUUCAUCUCAUGUAUCAACUUCAGCCCCAAGCAUGACCUGUAUGCAUUUGCCUCUUAUUCUAAGAGAGUGGGACAAGGGGACUGUGUUUAUCAUUUAAAGGGCCACCAAGGAGGAGUGACACACGUUAUAUUUUCACCUGAUGGGAACUUGCUCUACACUGGGAUAUGGAAAGCAGAAGGAACCCAAAAUCCUGUGAUGGGACCUAUGUCAGCCUAGCAAAGUGCUGUUCUCCAAGCUCUAUUCAGCAACAAUCAAUCAGAGAAUGUAUUUUGAUCUGGAUGUUUAUGGGCGCUAUGUAGUCAGCAAGAACACUGAGGGAACACAUUCCACGUAGGAUACCACAUUAACACCAGCAAAGGGGCCGGACUCCAUCCUCAAUCCUACUCUUUAGAAACACACUCAGCAGGACUGUGUUAACGGGAUCAGCCUACACCCACAUACAAACCUGCUGGCUACCACCUUGGGGCAGUGCAAGUUUCUGGAGCCUGCUGAGAACAAGGACGAGGGCAACAGGAUCCUGAUGGGCCCCUGCAACAUCAGGGCUGAGAGCUCCAUAAAGCUGUGGGUUUGCUGCCAGUGACAUAGGCCAACAGCCUAGGAGGUGGUUCACAAAGCAAGGGUUCCAUGUUGGAGCUGGACUUACACUCACAGUGCUGCCUUAUAUGCACUGAGAUUAGGAUGGGGUUAGGAUUGCGACAAAAUAAAAUCGCUACCAGUUG
Long non-coding RNA from Stegostoma tigrinum, 1305 nucleotides. RefSeq lists it as uncharacterized. The record is from RefSeq and is a predicted model, not a curated record. The transcript is spliced from 3 exons. NCBI's taxonomy places the organism in Eukaryota, Metazoa, Chordata, Chondrichthyes, Orectolobiformes, Stegostomatidae.